This is a long non-coding RNA of Trifolium pratense (red clover), 624 nucleotides long. RefSeq lists it as uncharacterized. The transcript has 3 exons. The record is from RefSeq and is a predicted model, not a curated record. Lineage: Eukaryota; Viridiplantae; Streptophyta; Magnoliopsida; Fabales; Fabaceae.
AUCCAUGGAGACUGAGAAGACUAAGGUCCUUUCAAUAUUGAUAAAUGUUCUUUUUCGUUUUUCUUAUAUAAUUAUUGAUUUUUCAAAAUGUGAUAUUUAUCUACAAACUAUGAAGUUGGUUUUUUGCCAAGUUAUUGUUUAUUAACCUACAAGAUUGCAUUUUUUAAAUUGUAGAAGCAAGCAACACUGAUGGAAACUGAGAAGACUAGGAAACAAGCAACACCGAUGGAAACUGAGAAGACUAAGAGAGUUGGAGAAGAUUUAGGUACUUUCUUGCAGACAUCCUAUUUCGAGGAUUUAGUGCUUUGUGGAGAUAAUGGAGAAAAAUUCGAUAUCAAUAUUUUGAAUGUUGAUAAUGUUAUGCGCAUGAAACUCUGAUAUAAUUGGGACCAUGUCUGCAAAGAACUAAAUUUCAAAGCUGGAACUACAAUUCGCUUUAAGUUUGAGACCAAAAGUGGAAACGAAAUCAGCUUCAGAUGCCAUCUUUUGAAAUUAGAUUAGUUUUCAUUAAAUGUAUGACAUUUUUAAUAUGUUUGUCUAUGUUAUGUUUUUGUAUUUCCCUUAGCUUUGGUGUCUAAUUCUGGUACAAACAUCAUUUCAUUGGUAUCCUAUUUUGGUUUUCUU